CUACGGGACGCAGCAGCUGAGGAUUUUUUACAAUGCACGAAAGUGUGAUAAAGCGAGCCAGAGUGUUGUUCUUAGAACAACUUUUAUUUGCUGUAAAAAGGCAGAUGAAUAAGGACUGGGUAAGACCGGUGCCAGCCGCCGCGGUAAUACCGGCGGUCCAAGUUGCAUCCAUUUUUAUUGGGUCUAAAACAUCCGUAGCUUGCUCUGUAAGUUUCUUGUGAAAUCUCAUGUCUCAAGCAUGAGGCUUGCAAGAAAUACUGCAUAGCUAGAGACCGGAAGACGUAAGGAGUAUGAUUGAGGUAGCGGUAAAAUGUGUUAAUCUUAAUCAGACUAACAACGGCGAAGGCACCUUACGAGUACGGAUCUGACAGUGAGGGAUGAAGGCUAGGGGCGCAAAACGGAUUAGAUACCCGCGUAGUC
RNAcentral lists this ribosomal RNA (420 nucleotides) under uncultured archaeon. Its description in RNAcentral is "partial 16S ribosomal RNA". It matches the Rfam family "Archaeal small subunit ribosomal RNA", at positions 323 to 746 of the family's 1478-position model. The record is from RNAcentral.